UUUAACUUGUACUUUUGUGAAUCAUAUCAGACUAGAAGCAUCAACUCGCAUUUGCGAAUCAUAUCAUACCAAAAAUUGUAUUACAUUAAAGGCAAUGAUUAAUUCAUGAUUAACAUAUACAUCAUAUCAUCUAGCUAACUAAACACAAUGACCUUUAAUUAUAGUUUGACACAUUACAAUAUAUUGGAUACAUGAAGGGCGGUCUUCAAUCUUGAUGCCUAGUUGAAUUCAU
This 232-nucleotide long non-coding RNA is filed under the name Lathyrus oleraceus (garden pea). RNAcentral's name for it is "Pisum sativum (pea) long non-coding RNA (PSAT_LNC000063)". The record is from RNAcentral. Lineage: Eukaryota; Viridiplantae; Streptophyta; Magnoliopsida; Fabales; Fabaceae.